RNAcentral lists this ribosomal RNA (401 nucleotides) under uncultured bacterium. RNAcentral's name for it is "bacterial SSU rRNA". It matches the Rfam family "Bacterial small subunit ribosomal RNA", at positions 359 to 776 of the family's 1533-position model. The record is from RNAcentral.
GAAUAUUGCACAAUGGACGCCAGUCUGAUGCAGCAACGCCGCGUGUAGGAUGACGGUCUUCGGAUUGUAAACUACUUUAGUCAGGGACGAGCAAGGACGGUACCUGAAGAAUAAGUCUCGGCUAACUACGUGCCAGCAGCCGCGGUAAAACGUAGGAGGCGAGCGUUAUCCGGAUUUACUGGGCGUAAAGCGCAGGUAGGUGGUUGCUUAAGCCAUGCGUGAAAGCUCUCGGCUUAACCGGGAGAGGCCGUGUGAAACUGGGUAACUAGAGGCAGGUAGAGGCAGACGGAAUUCCGGGUGGAGUGGUGAAAUGCGUAGAGAUCCGGAGGAACACCAGUGGCGAAGGCGGUCUGCUGGCCCUGACCUGACACUCAGAUGCGAAAGCAUGGGGAGCGAACGGG